RNAcentral lists this ribosomal RNA (396 nucleotides) under uncultured bacterium. RNAcentral's name for it is "partial 16S ribosomal RNA". It matches the Rfam family "Bacterial small subunit ribosomal RNA", at positions 523 to 918 of the family's 1533-position model. The record is from RNAcentral.
AUACGUAGGUGGCAAGCGUUGUCCGGAUUUACUGGGUGUAAAGGGCGUGUAGGCGGAGAUGCAAGUCAGGAGUGAAAUCUAGGGGCUCAACCCCUAAACUGCUUUUGAAACUGUAUCCCUUGAGUAUCGGAGAGGCAGGCGGAAUUCCUAGUGUAGCGGUGAAAUGCGUAGAUAUUAGGAGGAACACCAGUGGCGAAGGCGGCCUGCUGGACGACAACUGACGCUGAGGCGCGAAAGCGUGGGGAGCAGACAGGAUUAGAUACCCUGGUAGUCCACGCUGUAAACGAUGAAUACUAGGUGUGGGGGGACUGACCCCCUCUGUGCCGCAGUUAACACAAUAAGUAUUCCGCCUGGGGAGUACGGCCGCAAGGUUGAAACUCAAAUGAAUUGACGGGG